This 1463-nucleotide long non-coding RNA is filed under the name Mytilus galloprovincialis (Mediterranean mussel). The record is from RNAcentral. Lineage: Eukaryota; Metazoa; Mollusca; Bivalvia; Mytilida; Mytilidae.
UGGGGUCUCUUUAUAUAAGAUACGGACUUGAACAUUGCAUUAUAUGGGGGCACCCAUCAGAUAUUUCCAACCGUGACCUCCAAAACCAAUUGUUAAACUUUUCUAAAAUUGCUCCAUUUGUAAUCUAUUAAUGUAUGUAUGGACCUUCUAUUUCGAAUAUUUUGUAAAAAUAUUUUUGAUGUUUCUCUAUCGUAAAUACGGACUUUGUCAUAACCUUAUAUUGGGCGUACCUAUUUUAUAUCCACAACUUCCUUCAGACACUUGUCAUAACUUAAUGAAUCUUUUUUUUUUCAGAUUCCUUAUCAUUUAAUUCAAUUGUGUACCUCUUAUUUUGGUUUUUCGAAAAAUCAUCAGUUUUUUAUUUCCAUGAUAUGGACUUUUCCAUUACCUUAUUGGGUGGUACCCGCUUACUAUACGCAACUUUCAAAAACUUACCAUAUACUAGUAUUAAUAAAACUUUCUCAUAUUCGUUAUUAAAUGAUGCCCCUGUGCACCUAUAAUUUAGUUUUUCUGGUGGUUUAUUUUUUUUCCAAAACAUGGACUAUAGAAGUGGCGGGGUAUAAUUUCGUUAAUUCUUUCCUCAAUACCUAAAGUUUUUUAACAAAGCUUUCUCUAUCUAUUUUUUGUCAUUUUAAAAGAGACAGGCUUGAUGUAUGUAAUCACCAAUUGAUCAACGGUAGACGGUGUAAAUAGUCUUUAAAAAUGUAAUAGUUAAACAGAUAACUGCAACGACACACUAAUACAGUCCACAAGCGAAUCAUGUAUUGCUUUUUAGGCAUUUGAUUUUAAGUAAGACUGACGGAACAAAAAUUAAUUUGCCGUCUACAAAAAUCAUCAGAAAUAUAUUUGUAUUGUCUGAUGAAAGAAAUUACACGUUAUAGUUCCAUGGACACAAUCAUAAUAUCACAUAGACACGUAUAUACCUUCAAAUUGCCGUUGUUUUUCAGUCAAGGUCGUUAAAAACUUCCAUUUGUUGUUGUUUUUUUCUUCAAAAUCACGACUGGUCAUACAGACAAAAAAUCUGAAAUCGCUACUAGAAUACAGUCAGUUUUAGACUGAUCGUACAGUAAUUUAUUUUGGGUUCCUCAAGGAAAGCAUAUUUUUUUAUUUGAAAUACGAACAUUCUACUUAAAUACGGUAGGAAUAUUGAAACAGUAUAUAUUUUACUGUAAACUGAUGCAAAUAUUCGCAAUAAAAGAUUAUCUGCUUUGUACUACGAGAGCAAAAUUGUCAAUCGAUUUCACUUUUUUCUAUGAAGUUGGUGUGAUGCACGCGAAUAUUUUAUAUUCUACUGCAUGUUUUUGUUACAGUUACUCAUAUUUAUGAUGUUAUACAUACAUUUAAGAUGUGCAAAGCACUUUAUAGAUAUAGGAGUAAACAAAUGAUGAGAAAAAGCACCAAAACAAAACCGUUCUGUUAGCCAGUUUGAAAUCCUCGCUUCGAAAAUCGCGACUUCCGGAUAG